GCUUUUUGAAACCCUUUUACUGUUAUUGUGUGGUUUAAAUAAGGAGAGACGACUGACGAUGGAUUGAGUAGCAGAGAGCAAAGCAAGAAGUUGGGCAAUUUUGGGUAUGAAUACUUUCCUCUUUCUUUCUAUUCUUUCCUUUCUUGGUUUUUGCCUUUAUUGUUAACGUCCUUUUGCAAAGAGAGAUAAGGUCCCUUCUCUCCCCUCUCUCUCUCUCCUCACCUUGCCUUUAAUCUUCGAAUAAAAAUAAAAGAAGAAGACGAAAUUUAUUUUUGUAACUAUUGCAUCGGACACAGUUCUUUCACUGUCAUUAUAAACACAUUUCCCCACCUGUUUCAAUCAAGCAGCUUAUCAUCAAUUACUACUAAACUACUCCUACUAUUUCCUCCCAGCUCGAGUCUUUUACAUUUUUGCCCUAACAGAACUUUAUAUAUUGUUUAGAAAUAUUUGAUUUUUUUGCGCAAACAUGAAUUGUGACGUAGUGAUUGACCUCCUUCAUUGUUAAUCACUAAUCUCAAAUUCGAGUUUUGAAUAUGAAAUUAUUUUAGUUAAAAUGUCAUCUACUAAUGGAUUAUGUAGUAUGUGACUUAGAUUUAGUUCAUAUUCCAAUAUAUAUACAGGCAUCAAAUAUCAAAUUGAGAAACCAAAAUUUUUUUUCCUGCCCAUAAUUAGCGAGGGUAUAAAUGUUUAGUAAAACAGUAGUUUUGAACUCAUCUCUUUGGGUCUAAAUAUUAUACUCUUGGUCAAUUAUUUUGAGAAAAUGUGUAACACAUACGUAAUUAUUUUUGAGAAAAUGUGACACACAGACAUAAUAAUUUUGAGAAAUGUGAAUAGAACAUGGAAAGUUUGCAUUUUAUUAACUUUGUUGUGUGACUACAAAUUAGGUUGUGAUCAUACAAAUUUCAUGUGUCGAUUGGUAUUAACAUCUUUUCUUUUUUUUAAAAAAAGGACUUUGAUUAAAAAACAAUUUUUGAUGUGUUUGACUUUUAUAGAAAAAAACUUCUACUUGUUUGGUUUUUGGUUUUUGAAAGCGUUAAAUUGUAAAAUUAAUAAGGGAAAAUUGUAUAAAAUAGCAAACUAAUAACCUAAAUUAAAUUGAAUAGCUAGGGUUUGAUUUAAUUGUGCUCUAUAACAAACAUUGACAAAAAUUUGCCAGGCGUCUCUCUCCCAGAAGUCUCGCUCGCCACUCUCUCAUUCUCGCCUCUCUUGCUUUAUACACAGAAGUGUAUAAUUUCUGUUUCUGUUUUGUAUAAAGCGAGAGAAAAUUGUAUAUACACAUGCAAAAAUGUAUAUCUUCAUGUUAUACACUUAAUUAUAUAAUUUACAAACAUUUUACUUCAAAUAUUGCAGAGAAAAAGGCCAAAGAAUUAUACAAUUGCGAAUUAUACAAUUGCAGUGAAAUACAAUUUUUUCUAGUUUUAUACAACAGAAGUGUAUAUAUUGUGUUUCUGUUUUUGUAUAAAGCGGGAAAAACAUAUAUCUUCUUGCUAUACACUUAUAAUUAUGCAAU
Molecule: long non-coding RNA, 1510 nt
Filed under: Solanum lycopersicum (tomato)
Lineage: Eukaryota; Viridiplantae; Streptophyta; Magnoliopsida; Solanales; Solanaceae
Description: long non-coding RNA (SLYC_LNC000683)
Source: RNAcentral